Molecule: unclassified non-coding RNA, 87 nt
Filed under: Pseudomonas libanensis
Lineage: Bacteria; Pseudomonadati; Pseudomonadota; Gammaproteobacteria; Pseudomonadales; Pseudomonadaceae
Source: RNAcentral
UGUGGGAGCUGGCUUGCCUGCGAUACAGGCGACUCGGUGUUUCUGAUGCACCGAGGUGAUGCCAUCGCAGGCAAGCCAGCUCCCACA